AGUGGGGAAUAUUGGACAAUGGGCGAAAGCCUGAUCCAGCCAUGCCGCGUGUGUGAAGAAGGUCUUCGGAUUGUAAAGCACUUUAAGUUGGGAGGAAGGGCAGUAAGCGAAUACCUUGCUGUUUUGACGUUACCGACAGAAUAAGCACCGGCUAACUCUGUGCCAGCAGCCGCGGUAAUACAGAGGGUGCAAGCGUUAAUCGGAAUUACUGGGCGUAAAGCGCGCGUAGGUGGUUUGUUAAGUUGAAUGUGAAAUCCCCGGGCUCAACCUGGGAACUGCAUCCAAAACUGGCAAGCUAGAGUAGGGCAGAGGGUGGUGGAAUUUCCUGUGUAGCGGUGAAAUGCGUAGAUAUAGGAAGGAACACCAGUGGCGAAGGCGACCACCUGGGCUCAUACUGACACUGAGGUGCGAAAGCGUGGGGAGCAAA
Molecule: ribosomal RNA, 427 nt
Filed under: Pseudomonas graminis
Lineage: Bacteria; Pseudomonadati; Pseudomonadota; Gammaproteobacteria; Pseudomonadales; Pseudomonadaceae
Description: bacterial SSU rRNA
Rfam family: Bacterial small subunit ribosomal RNA
Source: RNAcentral